GCUGGGCACAGUGGUGCAUGCCUGUAAUCCUAGCAGUUUAGGAGGCUGAGACAGGACGAUUGUGGGUUCAAAGCCAGCCUCAGCAAUUUAGUGAGGCACUAAGCAACUCAGUGAGACCCUGUCUCUG
RNAcentral lists this small RNA (127 nucleotides) under Marmota monax (woodchuck). Lineage: Eukaryota; Metazoa; Chordata; Mammalia; Rodentia; Sciuridae. The record is from RNAcentral.